UAACACUUGGGCACAAAUAACAAAUGCAGAAAUGCGACUCCAACUCAAUAUAAUGCUCUUAUUUUUCUUUUUCUUUUUUUCUAGCCAAGUUAUUUCAGUUUUAUAUCACAGAACAAAGUGAACAGAUUGUAAUUCGAAAACGAUGAUAGACCUUAUCCUCCUACCUGAUCCACGACUUUGUGCAGUACCAUUGUCUAUUCUCAUAUGUUUCAACAUACGAAAUGUUGUGCUUGUAAAGGAGCAUGGUCACUUAAGAUUCAAUGCCUGACGCGUGAUGUUUUGUGGUAUUUUUUUAUCUUUUUAAUAGUGAACCACGAGCAAAUUCCACAUGGCACCACCGUAUUUUAACGAUUUCCUAAGCCAGUGACCUAACUCCUCGUAUUUUAUAGUUUCGUAGCAACGCACGGGCAUUGUGCUAGU
This 420-nucleotide long non-coding RNA is filed under the name Hordeum vulgare. RNAcentral describes it as "long non-coding RNA (HVUL_LNC006479)". The record is from RNAcentral. Lineage: Eukaryota; Viridiplantae; Streptophyta; Magnoliopsida; Poales; Poaceae.